This 368-nucleotide long non-coding RNA is filed under the name Mytilus galloprovincialis (Mediterranean mussel). The record is from RNAcentral. Lineage: Eukaryota; Metazoa; Mollusca; Bivalvia; Mytilida; Mytilidae.
UCCCAGGUUAUGGGAGGGUUUGGAUCCCACUUUCACGUUUAACCCUGCCACAUUUUGUAUAUUUGUGUUUGUCCCAAGUCAGGAGCCUGUAAUUGAGUGGUUGUCGUUUGUUGAUGUGUUACAUAUUUGUUUUCUCGUUUGAAAUGUUUUACAUUUGUCAUUUCGGGGCUUUUUAUUUCUGAAUAUGCCGUAUGGGCUUUGCUCAUUGGUGGAGGUCCGAGGCCGUACGGUGACAUAUAGUUGUUAACUUCUUUUUUAUAAUACAUUGAUGAAUGAUCUACCUUCAGUCAUAGAUAGUACCUGUGAGUAUGUUACUCCUGAUAAUUCAAAAAUCCCAUGUCUUCUUUAUGUGGACUAUUUAGUUUUAC